GAUCCACUCCACUGUAGUUUCCUACGUGAGCCCAGGAUGCGGGUGCGCCUUCUGAAUUGGUCACACAGCCCCAGCCAGGCUCUUAAUGGAAUGAUGACACUAACGUUGCAACAAUAGAAAGGCCUCCAGGGAUGCUGGCUGUAGAGCAGAGGUGCAGGAUGUUAUGAAGAGAGGU
Molecule: long non-coding RNA, 175 nt
Organism: Lagopus leucura (white-tailed ptarmigan)
Lineage: Eukaryota; Metazoa; Chordata; Aves; Galliformes; Phasianidae
Exons: 3
Source: RefSeq, a predicted model, not a curated record